Molecule: ribosomal RNA, 653 nt
Filed under: Trichoderma harzianum
Lineage: Eukaryota; Fungi; Ascomycota; Sordariomycetes; Hypocreales; Hypocreaceae
Description: eukaryotic LSU rRNA
Rfam family: 5.8S ribosomal RNA (bases 271-424)
Source: RNAcentral
UCUUGGUCAUUUAGAGGAAGUAAAAGUCGUAACAAGGUCUCCGUUGGUGAACCAGCGGAGGGAUCAUUACCGAGUUUACAACUCCCAAACCCAAUGUGAACGUUACCAAACUGUUGCCUCGGCGGGAUCUCUGCCCCGGGUGCGUCGCAGCCCCGGACCAAGGCGCCCGCCGGAGGACCAACCAAAACUCUUUUUGUAUACCCCCUCGCGGGUUUUUUUAUAAUCUGAGCCUUCUCGGCGCCUCUCGUAGGCGUUUCGAAAAUGAAUCAAAACUUUCAACAACGGAUCUCUUGGUUCUGGCAUCGAUGAAGAACGCAGCGAAAUGCGAUAAGUAAUGUGAAUUGCAGAAUUCAGUGAAUCAUCGAAUCUUUGAACGCACAUUGCGCCCGCCAGUAUUCUGGCGGGCAUGCCUGUCCGAGCGUCAUUUCAACCCUCGAACCCCUCCGGGGGGUCGGCGUUGGGGAUCGGCCCUCCCUUAGCGGGCGGCCGUCUCCGAAAUACAGUGGCGGUCUCGCCGCAGCCUCUCCUGCGCAGUAGUUUGCACACUCGCAUCGGGAGCGCGGCGCGUCCACAGCCGUUAAACACCCAACUUCUGAAAUGUUGACCUCGGAUCAGGUAGGAAUACCCGCUGAACUUAAGCAUAUCAAUAAGCG